ACAGGUUUCGACGGGGAGGAACUCGGCAAAAGUUGCGGGCCGAGGUGCCGUUGGCCUCGUUAAACCGCGGCAAAAACACAACUGCCGACUAUGCGGCACUUCCCCUCGCUGCCUAAGGCGCAGCGACGUCCUGCCGGCUGAGCCGACGUGGCCGGACAGGGCGCCAACCCCGUCGGCAACUUCCCGCCUGAGGUCCGUAGGGCGGGGAGGUAACCUCACGGACUAAGCCCGGUCAAAGCCUGUCCGUGGGCGUGGACCGGGCGAAACUGAAAACACGGACUACGCCCGUAGGAUACUUUUGUCGAGACUCUCCGGACCCGGGU
This 323-nucleotide transfer-messenger RNA is filed under the name Armatimonadota bacterium. It matches the Rfam family "transfer-messenger RNA". Rfam says of the family: Bacterial tmRNA, also known as 10Sa RNA or SsrA, is named for its dual tRNA and mRNA-like properties. Its role is to liberate the mRNA from a stalled ribosome. To accomplish this part of the tmRNA is used as a reading frame that ends in a translation stop signal. Lineage: Bacteria; Bacillati; Armatimonadota. The record is from RNAcentral.